This 413-nucleotide unclassified non-coding RNA is filed under the name Hevea brasiliensis (rubber tree). Lineage: Eukaryota; Viridiplantae; Streptophyta; Magnoliopsida; Malpighiales; Euphorbiaceae. The record is from RNAcentral.
GCAACUGCUGAUGCUUUAAUUAUAUCCUCAGACUCUGCUGACACUCCCCUGAGUGUUAUAGUAAAUCGGUUCCCAUAAAGCUGCCCAAGCAGAAGCCCUUCUUUAACAUGGCAAAAGUCACCAACUUUGAUACCAAUCAAUCUUUUGUUGAGAGCUGCUAAUUUACUUGCUUGUUGCUUGAAAACGGUUACCCUCUGAGUUGAAACAGCACGCUUAUCUUUAGUACCAGCAAAUCCAAAGGACCUAAGCUGAACGCCAAGCAUCUUUGCUAUAACGUUUAAAGCUUCCUGUGUAUCCUUAUUCUCCUUGAAAAGAUGAAACCUGAGGAACUUGCCAAGAUGUCCUGGCCAACUGUCUGAACCUCUACUGUCAUAACGUUUAUCAUUCCGGUCUUUCCUUUUCCUAGAGUAUCU